AUUAUUCUACUGCAGAGGUUUGUUAAACCUGAGAAAAACAAACAGACCGCCCUCCAUUUCCUGCUCUGCCACAUGGAAAUACUGUACGUAAACAAGCCCAGGUAUAUCUUCAUCAUAUUGACUCAGUAAUGCUUGCAUUUAAUAAUUCUGGUGUUUCCGACCACUCUCUUUACACUGCAUGUCAAUCUUCUGGGCAAAAAUAAUAACCCCUGUUUUCUUGAAUAGAUGAUGUAUAUCUGUCAGUCACUCAUUGUUGCCUUUCAUCUGAAAAAAUAGAAGGAGCAAUAAGCGCUGUAGGUGGGAAUAUAUCAUGUCGCCUGCUUGCAAUCUUCAUAAAUGCGUGGAAAGGUCUUUUGCAUGUGUUUAAAGCUCCCCCUUUUUUUAAAUGGUGUAUGAUUGUGCCAAAAUAGAACAGAGUUGCAUGUGUAUACUCAAAAGGCCAUGUUGAACAUACUGCGCUGGCCUGUGAGGCAAGAAGCUUGACGCCCGACUUGUGUACUUCAUUAACGGCACGUCCGUGUCCAUGUUAACCAGCGAGCUAUUCACAAACUGUGUAACAUUGUUACCUAAACGUGACAGAUUCCCCGUGGCGUCGGAAGUUUAAUCAGAAAAGACUGCACAAGGACACCUGCUGCAGGCGUCCGUGCUAUUUAACGCACUGCUGUGCUCAAUAAAAACUAUUUAUCUCAGAUCAGAAUUUGUCAUCAUCAACCAUUUGUUGAUAUGCACACUUGUUUGAUUUAGAGUAGGAAAUCUAUUUUUCAUCACAAACAAGAAUCCCAUAUAUCAUUGCAGAGUAAUAAACAGCCUGAGGGAUUUCAGUUUACUCUCCACCAAAGAAUGAGGAAUGAGUGAACCACCUGCAAACCUCAUGAAAGCGUCAUUAUUACUGCAGUUCUUAUGCGUUUUGAUGUUUAUUUUUUUUAAAGCCAUUUGCCAAGUGUCACUAUCAUGAAUUGACUAUUCAAUUAACGACACACACUGUGCUAUUUUAAUCAUAUACUCAUAAACUAUCACACAAAUCAUACUGUUCCGGCAACAAAUCACUCAUGGUUUGUGUGCCAUAAUCCAAAAAAAUCACUUGGAUAGAUUUUUAUAUAAACCAGCCGGGAAAGAGUCCCUUUGUCUCUGCGUUGCCCGAAAGAUGGUUCAGCUAUCUAAACUGAGUGGCUUAUUUAUAUGUCCCUUCGGUUAUACAAUGCUUGGUGUUGGUGGUGGUCUAAUCAAAAUGCAGAUAUUUUCAUUGAAGAAACUAGAUUACGGUUUAUGAGAAUCACGGGCAAUUACACACACAGUUGUAUGUGCACACAUAGUAUUGCACAUUUAUAAACAUAUGAAGGAAUAUUGAAUAUGUGAAAGAAUAUAACAUGCAUUUUCUCUUUUGCUAAAACUUGACCUGAUUAUGUUGACCGCGUAAAUUACAUUUAGCAUGCUUUCAAAAAAAUAGAAAAAUCAUACUGAUUAGGAUAAGUCACACAUUAUUGACUAGCAAGUGCAAACCAAAACACAACGGUUCUUAAUAUUAGCAUAAAACAAUAUUUUUGAUUCAUUUAUUCCAGUCAUGGUGAUAGAGCGCAGAAAUGAAAACCGUCCAUUUAACAAGAGGAGUUUCUGCGCUGUGCCGCGGAUUAAAUCCUAACCAGAGAACAUCAAAUAAAAACAAUUAUUUAGGGGCUGUAAGGUGUCAAGCUGUGAAGAACGGCCUUUUCAAUUAUUGAACUUAAUGUGUGAAAGCCACGCUGGUCGAUUCGGAUGCAGACACCCAUAAGCCUCGCGGUGCACUAAAGAGCUCGGAGCAGAUCGGGAUCCUUUUGUCUCCACCACAGAAAUGAUGAAUACAAUACAAUUCAACACCACAAGGUUAUUGUUGCUCAUUUUAGAUUUUUACAACAAGAUGCAGGCAUGCUAAUGACUGUUUUAGAGUCUGAAAGACCAAACGUCAGAGUCUCGCUCACAGAAGUCUGAUUUGGAAAACUUUUAUUCGGGUGUUCUAUGUUUGGGGGCUUAAUUAGCAAGUAAGUCCUACGAUGAGCAUCAUUACCGCAGCCGAGACUGAAAUACACACUGUAGAUAUUCGGCUUAUAGAAACCCCUCUGAGGCGUAAGACCUACCAGCAUCCGACUGGCCCGGGGUGGAUUCAGCUCACCUCAUUUCAUUUGUCUUUGUCAUCCACACUUGUGGCGGAAACAAACAGCAUGAGACAAAAGGCGUCUCCUUCUUGGAACGACUCGAUUCAUCAUCUCCGUUUGUGUUUCAAACGAUAUCUGAUUGGUUCAAUAUCAAGACAACUAGCUUGGAUUUAAAGGAUGAUGAGAGCGCUACUGAGAAGAGGGUAGAUCUUAGCGAGGAAACCCAAAACACCCACACACUUGUAGCAUCCAGCACUUCCAAUUAAUUUGUUUUGAAGUUCAGGGCUUCUGCUUUGUUUUUGUGUUGUGUGAAGUUGUGACACCGAAUGCGGUAUCAUUAGCGCCGUCUCUGUUAGUCACUGCGCACUCCCUUCAUCAGUCUUUGUUUCUCUUGUCUUUUUCCUCCCUCCAUCUCGAUUCUCUCCCUCGGCUUUCAUCUCAGAUCAGAGGAACAAAGUCGUAGUUUUCCACCCCGUCUACCACCGUUUUUUUUUAUUUAUUUAUGCCUAAAGAUACUGUGAGAGUGAAGCUGUGUCACCUUUCUCCAGGUUUUUCUACUUUAAAUUUCUCCUUUCAUGCCUCCUUUUCAUCAUGCAUGUUUCCUCGGCCACUGUUCUCUUCACUCAUCCUCUCCCCGUCCUCCGCUGACGCCUCACUGUCUUUCUCGCCAACCUUUUCGAUGGCCCUUUAUCUCUUGCUCCUCCAUCUCCACACGUGUCCCCAUAAUAAGGGCCGGAUCCAUUUCCCUUCAAGCUCUCAGAGACCAGCUAAAAGCAGGAAGUGAAGGCAAUCUCUAGUGGAAGGAAAGCCGCCUUCUACUAGACAUCACCCAAAAGUGACAAAAAUUGUCCCUGAGUGAAUGGAAGAGAAUGUGAAUGGAAGAGGCUUAAAGUGGUUCUUCUGAGAACUAAAUGACAUAUAGUGUAAAAGGGCUGCAGCGCUAACACAUUCUGUCAUGCGCCGUUAGCUCGCCACAAAAAGACAAGUAUCCAGUCCUUCAGGUUUCAGAUGGAGUUUGGGGAGAUUUGUCUCGACGCCCUUUAAGGUUUGAAGUGACAAAGGAUGGUUCCUUCACUGCGUUGUGCUCCUUUGGAGAAAAAUGACGUGGCUCUUUGUGUGGGGUUCAAAAACAGACUUAUCUGCAGGAAUAGGAACUGCACGCAAGUCUUUUGACAAGUGUUAGGAUGUGCUCGACGGGAGAGUUCUGGAUACGUUCUCUUUCUAUUGGAAAUGCAAAGAUGCUCUGUGGAACUGUUUCAUGUAUAUUUCAUCCACAAUGAGAUGCAACUCUGUUUUAUUGAUGGCCGACUGCUCAGCUCUCAGUUUUCCCGCUCUGGCCCCUCCCCUCUUUGGAAGAGUUUAAGUUACAGAAGGAAACUCAUAAUUGAAUUAUGACCGCCCCAAAGCAGGAAGAUUUAAUAAUGGGAACCCGCCUCCUGGGUUGACAUGAAGGAGGGAGAUGGAGAGAGACGAGACCAGGUUGAAAAAGAUGACGGGAUUCAUUUACUCUCUUCGAGAGGCGGCGCAUUAUUGAAAGUACCCCACAGGCUCGUUUACGGUAUGUGACCAGUCAGCAGCAUUUCAGUGCAGUCGUUUAGUGGUUGUUUCAGUAACUGAUUAACUCAUUCAUUUGUUUUCUUGAACUAAGAAAAACACUUAUUGAAUUCAUCAUUCUGUCCUACUUUUCUGUCUAAAAGAUAUAAAGUGAAAAUGGGUAAUCAUUUUUAACACCAGAGAGGGAGGAGAGAAAAACUUAAUUUUCAUCUCUUAAAUUUUUACUGCAGAAAUAAUAACACCCUUCCACACAAUAUGCUUUUAUGGUGAAGGUUAGAUUCUCCAUUUAAUAUUUCCCAGCCCACACAUCAUCAUCAGGCCUCCAUACCUCUGCAAAGCUACGCGACCGAUUUCUGUGAUUAACAUUCUUUCGGGGUUCUUUGUGUCCCGUUAAUAAUUCAGUCACUGAUUCAUCUUCGUUUUUUAAUUUUUUUUUCUUCAGUUUUUUUUAAUUCUUUGUACUUGUACUUGUACUCAAUAUUGAAAAUAAGAACAUGCAAAGAUUUUAGUGACUAAGCACACACACAAUGCAGCGUCAUUUCCCAACACCCACCCCUACCUCUGCAAAUACCUCAACCUUCACAGUGUGUAUAGGUAUGUGUGUGCACAGUUUAAAGGUCAAAUGUGUGCACAGCACAAUAAAUCAAUACUUUCAGUCUCCCCAGGAAGUUAAGUCCUAUUUCUACUAUCCCUCACGCUUGAUAUGUGUGUGUGUGUGUGUGUGUGUGUGUGUGUGUGUGUGUGUGUGUGUGUGUGGAACACGCCUGGAAAUGAGCGCGCUGAGCUGGUGGAAAGACUGGAGUUGGCUAUGCUACUGCGGCCAUGGAAGUGUAAGUGUGAGCAUCUAUUAUUUAAGACAUAAUUAUGCAGUGGGCCGCUUUGUCGGCCAGUCAAUCAGAAUCCGGCUUUUCAUUAGGCUGCCUGUCAUUGCAGUGCGCUGGAGGCUUGCCUCUCUCACACAAUACAGGCGCACGACACACACACGAGCACUCACGCCACAGAACCGGAGCACACGCACACAGGCACGACAACUCUUCUCUGCGCCAACGUAUCAUCAAAAAACAAAAGGAUGCGUCAAGACAAAAGCGCAGAGAUGACUAUUGCUUCUUCCUCUCAUAUCCUUUUUUUGUCCAAUAGGCCCCCACAGAGAGUCAAUUUAAAUGUCAAAUGAGUCUGAUAUGAUUAUGGUAGAUUGAAAUCCAAAAGGCACAGUGAAAAUGUGUGUGUGUGUGUGUGUGAGAAUGGGGGGUUAUUGAGGAGGUGAGGUGCUGAUAAAGGGCAAAGGGAUCGGGGGGCAGAGGGAGUCGAAGAGCAGCAGUAGUGUGCAGAGCAGCCUCGCACUUCUAGACAUUCAACAACAGUAAUUUGGCUUUGUUUACUGUAGUACUGCUGACAUGAUGGAUUUAAGAUUUAAGGUUUAUAAUUCACUAUAAGCAAAAGCAAAUGAUUUACUCGCGUUUACUCUUGGAUGGCUUCUUAUGUCUGUAAAUGUCUAAAUGCAUAAACUACUGUAUGUAUGACUCAUUCUCACUGGUUGCAUGUAAAUGGAGCACAAGUUACUCCCAAAAGGAAUUAAGUCAUUUCCAGGUUAAAUUCCUGCUGGUUUUUCGAUAAAGGGAGCAAGAAGUGAUUAUGUUUCCUUUUGUUGCCAACUAAAUUAUAAAUUCAGCACCGCCUCUGCCAAUCAAAGCACAUUAGCUAGAUGAAAUAGACAACCGGGUAAGUUAAUGAAGUUGUCUCCAUAGAGAUACCAGAGCAUAUGUUGUUGUUUUUUCCCCAACAAACAAGCCUAAAGGUGCUUUUGGACCUAACUCAGGUCUGUGUGCUCCGUCUGGGGUCUCAAGAUGCAAUAAAUAUGCAGCCAGUGUUAAGUUGCUCUUUUCUUUUUUUCAAAUCCAAAUUCCCUUAUGUUCCUGUCCCAGUUUUGUUCCAGUGUUGCCAUCUUUUUUUUUUGGUACUUAACGAGUUCAGCACUUGAACUUGAACACAUUAGUGUUGUUAACACCAAGUAAGGUUAAGCUACAGCUUAAUUUCCCUUUUCAUACAUCAUUUUCUCACUAACAGUAUACAUGCUAAACAUUUUACCCUGCUGAAGUUGCUGAAGCAUUUAGCUUAAACCACCACUGUUCGUUUGCAUUGAAAUGAUAAAUCAGUGAAUUCCUUUCACUCAGACUUCGGUUGUUGGUUAAAUUAGUUUGAAUUCAGCUGUGUAACUAAGUUUCCUCUUCAUGAAACUAGAUGUUCAAACCUAAAAACAAGAAAGCUUCAUAGCAAAUAGCCCAGUGCAAUACACAAUGUUCACACGGAAUCUCUACUACUAGUCAUAAGACAAACCUAUUGAUGCCGUUUUUAUCUCACAGAUAUGCAUGGCUACUUUUACAUGCCUUUUUGUGUCCAUCUUUGAAUGCGUACUCUCUGAAAAUGUUAGGAGGAAGAGAAAUCCUUACUGUAAACCUCGGGAUGAGAUGUAUCAGCUUCCGCCCUCCUCCAGAGAGGAGCGUUGCACAGUAAUGAUGUAGACUCAAUUCUAACUCAAUGUGUACACGUGCCGGGCGAGGGAGGUCCGCGUUUCUGGAUGUGUCAUUUUGACACAAGGAGUGACAAUAAUCAGGGCAGUGGCGGGGGGCAACAGUGAGAUCCACAGCACACACAAGCCCCCAGUAAGUGUUUGACUUAUGUUGUGGAAUUGGUGCCUGGUGAGUCCAGAAGCACCAUUACAGAUGUUUUCCAUU
Long non-coding RNA from Gasterosteus aculeatus aculeatus (three-spined stickleback), 6415 nucleotides. NCBI's taxonomy places the organism in Eukaryota, Metazoa, Chordata, Actinopteri, Perciformes, Gasterosteidae. The record is from Ensembl.